GUCAGAUAUGGCAUGAUAUUUCAAGGAAGUUUAACUUGAACAAUUACUGAUUUCAUCCAGACUCCGGAGCCUCUGUUUUGUCAAGAAGGAAGAUCACGAGUGUCAUGGUAAUGCCAGUAAUGACUCAGGCCAUAUCCUGCUGGUCGUAGUAGUUCUCCAUCUCCCCAGAGAGGCUGCGAUUAAAUGACAUAUCAUUGCAGUGGCCAACGAACCAUUUAGAAGGAAGCACUUUACUUUGAAGAAGAUAUCUGAGGGUUUUCAAGUUGAAUGUGAAACUGUGGCCCCCAGUUCUGUACCCAAGACACCGUGUCCCUUUCCUUAAAAUGGACAUCACCUUCUAUUUCCUCACCUGAUUUAAACAGGAUUCUAGAAGACCUGAUGACUGUGUUUCCACAAGCAAGAAGACUCUGAAAACAGCCAAGCCGCACCACUGUGUUUUAGAAGAUACUACAAAGAAACCAGCCUUCAUGACGAAGACCUAGAGGCAGGAGCAAAAGUUUCUACUCCUCAAAAUAGACUAAUUCGAGUGCUGGCAAAUUCAAUUUCAUAGCAUCUACCAGUAUAUUU
This 567-nucleotide long non-coding RNA is filed under the name Ursus maritimus (polar bear). RNAcentral describes it as "lncRNA (ENSUMAG00000015718.1)". The record is from RNAcentral. Lineage: Eukaryota; Metazoa; Chordata; Mammalia; Carnivora; Ursidae.